This is an RNA transcript of Oncorhynchus keta (chum salmon), 5872 nucleotides long. It is a transcript of the gene named GRB2-associated-binding protein 1-like, with no coding region annotated. Lineage: Eukaryota; Metazoa; Chordata; Actinopteri; Salmoniformes; Salmonidae. The transcript is spliced from 17 exons. The record is from RefSeq and is a predicted model, not a curated record.
GGUAGGAGAGGUCCUACAUUGAACACUGGAAUGCAGGUUCUUUGUUAUUCCGUUCAAUCAUAAGAAAGCCAUAUUUCCCCCCGGUAUUCAGUCAGAUGGGUGUAAAUCUAUACUAUCCAUAUGCAAAAAAUAAUUUAUCAAAAUGCGGUUAUUUGUUUUAGGGGGAGAAAUGCCAAACAAUUGAGAACUACAUGUCCCAUGGUGUGUUGGUUAAUUUUUCCUGCACGCCGCCUCUCCCUCUGCCUGCGUGUUCCAAAGGAGGCUGUCAGGCUGAGUUCAGGGAAAACACAGAGUUUCCUAUCUGUCAAUCAUAAUUAGCAACCACAGGGAGUGAAACUGGGAGGAAGGUCGGUGAAACGCUACGUUUUUGGGUGAAAAGGCAUUGUACUUCCCGUGAAACAAUUAUGCUUCGGAAAGGAGAGGGAAAUAAGUAUCCUAGUGUGCUUAAAAAUAUUUGAUCUACUUUGGAAGGAAUUGCAUAAAAGCGCGUUCACUGAAAGCCAAACUCGGCGAGUUUCACUUGCAAGCAACUAUUCUGCUUGGAGUACGAAACAUAUCCAGAAGAAGGUAACCACGGACGCACGACACGUUGGGAUUUAAUUUGGCUAUUUAACACACUUCUUGACAAAAGUGGUUGACACAUUUCAGAGGACUGUCUUAAAGUCGCUGUUGGUGACUCGCAGCGCAGACUAGGAGGUUCACUCAAAACAAUCUCGGCCCAAACAUCCAGACGGCGAGGAAGAAAGGAGGAAAGAUGAGCGGGGGAGAUGUGGUGUGCUCGGGCUGGUUAAGAAAAUCUCCUCCAGAAAAAAAGUUGAGACGUUACGCAUGGAAGAAGCGGUGGUUUGUUCUCCGCAGCGGCCGUCUCUCGGGCGACCCAGACGUGCUGGAGUACUACAAGAAUGAUCACGCCAAGAAGCCUAUCCGCGUGAUCGACCUCAACCUGUGUGAACAGGUGGACGCAGGGCUCACGUUCAACAAGAAGGACCUGGAGCACAGCUUCAUCUUCGACAUCAAGACCAUCGACCGCGUCUUCUACCUGGUGGCCGACACGGAGGACGACAUGAACAAGUGGGUCCGCUACAUCUGUGACAUCUGCGGCUUCAACCCCACGGACGACGAAGCGGCAAAGGCUGCCCACCAGGCGGCCAGCGGUGGCUCUGUGGUGGACACGGCCCCUCACCCUGGCCUGGGGGGUCCUCCGGCCAUGCUGACCAACGUGCCUCCUCCCUACCAACCGGUCAGCGUGCGCCACCUGGACUCUGAGUCCAGCCUGGACGAACCCCAGGACUACCUGUGGCUGGUCAACUGUGAGAGCAAGAAGCCAGAGCCCAACAGAGCCCACGCCGAGUGUUCCAAGUCAACCUCGUCAGAGACGGACCUGAACGACAACGUCCCCGCCCACCGCACGCCAACCUCCACUAGCUCCUCCUCUAAGCACGCCAACGGCUUCUUCUCCUCUGUCCUGCCCCCUCACCCCUCCUCCGCCUCCUCCAUCUAUGACUCUCCUCCUUCCCGCGGAGGCGACCUCUCUUCCAGCCUCUACCACCUCCCCCGCUCCUACUCCCAGGACACUGUGCUCCUUCCCAAGUCAGCCUCCGCCUCCUCGCCCCCCGUCCCGGUCGACGGCGACGCCCCGGAGCUUUAUGUCUUCAACACGCCCUCGCGGAAGCCCUCCAUGGAGACUCAGAUGAGGAACCUGUCGGUUAGCUACGAUAUUCCUCCCACACCAGGCAGUAACUGUACCUAUCAGGUGCCUCGAGGUCCAGCGAGUGGUGGGUCUGAGGGUGGGGAUGGGAUGCCUCCGCCCCGGCCCCCCAAGCCUUCCCUCAGCUCCCUGACCCCGGGGUACCCGCCGCCCCCCGCGGAGCGCUCGCCCACGGACACAUAUUGCGUGCCGCGCUCCAUGUCGGAGACGGAUGGGAACUACUGCGUGCCCACCAGCGCCGGGAACAAGGCCCUGAGGAGCAACACCAUCGGCACCAUGGACUCAUCACGCCUCAGGAAAGAUUUGGGCUCCCAGGACUGUUACGAUAUCCCUCGGACGUUUCCCUCUGACAAGAGCUGCUCGUUUGACUUCAACGAAAGCUUCAACAGCUACUUGAAAAACAAAGGCAUGAUGCCAGUGGGCAGCCAGUCCAUGGAGGAAGUUGACCAGAACUACGUACCCAUGAGCUCCAACUCCCCGUCCCACCACCGCUCCGGCAGCCUGUCGGGCUGUGAACCCAUCAUGGAACCCAACUAUGUCCCCAUGACCCCGGGCCCGGGCACCUUAGAGUUCUCCCUGGGCAAGCAGGUUCCCCCGCCGGCCCACAUGGGGUUUCGCUCAAGCCCCAAUACCCCACCCCGCAGGCCCAUGCUCAUCAGCGAUUGUCAGCCCCCGCCUGUGGACCGCAACCUCAAACCGGACCGCAAAGGUCAGAGUCCUAAAAUAAUAAGAGCAAAGGGGGUUGGUUUAGAGCGAACCGACUCUCAGACCGUAGGGGAGUUCCCAAGACGACGCAAGGCCAAGCCCGCCCCUUUGGAGAUCAAGCCCCUACCUGAGUGGGAGGAGUCAUCGGCACCCGUCCGCUCGCCUGUCACCAGGUCUUUUGCUCGGGAUCCCUCCAGGUUCCCCAUGCCCCCCAGGCCUCCCUCGGUGCAUAGCACCGCCUCCAGCACCGACUCCGAGGACUGUGAUGAGAAUUAUGUAGCCAUGGUCUCUAAGGCAGACGAACUCGUAUGUAACACACGUCCUCAACUACUCUCUUCUAAAAUAUUAAUGUUAAAUCAUACAGUGAUUUAUGUACAUUUUACAAAAAAACAACUUGUCACAAUAAUAAGCUAAUGUUCCACAUACAGUCAGUAGCCAAUGAAUGUAUUGCAAUUAAAUUAUAUAUAUUUUUUUAUUCAUGGUAAAGUGCACCAUUUGCAAUGUAAUUUGUCUGAUGGCAUAUCUUAGUGGGCUGAAUAUCCAUAGAACAGCAGUAUGCAGAAGAAUUUAAAUACACUACAUAACCAUAACCAAAGGUAUGUGGACACCUGCUCUUCCAACGUCUCAUUCCAAAAUCAUGGGCAUUAAUAUGGAGUUGGACCCCCUUUGCUGCUGUCACAGCCUCCACUCUUCUAGGAAGGCUUUCCACCAGAUGUUGGAACAUUGCUGCGGGGACCUGCUUCCAUUCAGCUACAAGCAUUGGUUAGGUCGGGCACUGAUAUUGGACGAUUAUGCCUAGCUUGCAGUCGGCAUUCCAAUUAAUCUGAAACGUGUUCGAUGGGGUUGAGGUCAGGGCUCUGUGCAGGCCAGUCAAGUUCUUCCACACAGAUCUCGACAAACCAUUUCUGUAUGGACCUCGUUUUGUGCACGGGGGCAUUGCCAUGCUGAAACAGGAAAGGGCCAAACUUUUGCCACAAAGUUGGAAGCACAGAAUCAUCUAGAAUUUCAUUGUAUGCUUUAGCAUUAAGAUUUCCCAUCACUGGAACUAAUGGGCCUAGCUGGGAACCAUGACAAACAGCCCCAGACCAUUAUUCCUCCUCCACCAAACUUUACAGUUGGCAAUAUGCAUUGGGGCAGUUAGCGUUCUCCUGGCUUCCGCCAAACACAGAUUUGUCCAUUGGACUGCCAGAUGGUGAAGCGUGAUUCAUCACUCCAGAGAAUGCGUUUCCACUGCUCCAGAGUCCAAUGGUGGCGAGCUUUACCCCUCUCCAGCCCACGUUUGGCAUUGUGCAUGUGUCUCCACGGCCAUGGAAACACAUUUCAUGAAGCUCCCGGUGAACAGUUAUUGUGCUGACCUUGCUUCCAGAGGCAGUUUGGAACUCUGUAGUGAGUGUGGCAAUCGAGGCCAGACGUUUUUUACGUCCUACAUGCGUCCGCACUCAGCGGUCCCGUUCUGUGAGCUUGUGUGGCCUACCACUUCGCGGCUGAGCCGUUGGUGCUCCUAGACGUUUCCACUUCACAUUAACAGCACUUACAGUUGACCGGGGCAGCUCUAGCAGGGGAGACAUUUUAUGAACUGACUUGUUGGAAAGGUGGCUUCCUACGAUGGUAUCAUGUUGAAAGUCAGAGCUCGUCAGUCAGGCCAUUCUACUGCCAAUGUUUGUCUAUGGCGAUAGCGUGGCUGUAUGCUUGAUUUUAUACACCUGUCAGCAACGGGUGUGGCUGAAAUAGCCAAAUCCACUAAGUUGAAGGGGUGUCCACAUACUUUUGGGUGUAUAUAGUGUAGUCUGACUUCACUUCAAAACAUACUACUGUUUUUUUGUUAGUGUGAUGACAUUGAAAUGAUGAGUCCACGUUUCUUGUUUCUAAUUUCCCAUGUUAGUAUAGUAUACCUAGUAAAAAUCAUAGUCUGUUAUCAUCCUCCUCGGCCUCCCAAGAGGAGAAAGAGGAGAAAGAGAUGGUUGCCACAGAAGGACUCCUCUUCAACACUUCUAUUUUCUUCACCUCUUCUUUCCCUCUUCAUCACUUGUCAUCCUGCUUUUUUUGACUUUUUCAUUUGCGCUUUCACUCUCUUCCCCCUGUAGGUAUUCAGUCCAUCUGGUGGACAUCUCCUUCCCCCUGUAGGUAUUCAGUCCAUCUGGUGGACAUCUCCUUCCCCCUGCAGGUAUUCAGUCCAUCUGGUGGACAUCUCCUUCCCCCUGCAGGUAUUCAGUCCAUCUGGUGGACAUCUCCUUCCCCCUGCAGGUAUUCAGUCCAUCUGGUGGACAUCUCCUUCCCCCUGCAGGUAUUCAGUCCAUCUGGUGGACAUCUCCUUCCCCCUGCAGGUAUUCGGUCCAUCUGGUGGACAUCUCCUUCCCCCUGCAGGUAUUCGGUCCAUCUGGUGGACAUCUCCUUCCCCCUGCAGGUAUUCGGUCCAUCUGGUGGACAUCUCCUUCCCCCUGCAGGUAUUCGGUCCAUCUGGUGGACAUCUCCUUCCCCCUGCAGGUAUUCGGUCCAUCUGGUGGACAUCUCCUUCCCCCUGCAGGUAUUCGGUCCAUCUGGUGGACAUCUCCUUCCCCCUGCAGGUAUUCGGUCCAUCUGGUGGACAUCUCCUUCCCCCUGCAGGUAUUCAGUCCAUCUGGUGGACAUCUCCUUCCCCCUGCAGGUAUUCAGUCCAUCUGGUGGACAUCUCCUUCCCCCUGCAGGUAUUCAGUCCAUCUGGUGGACAUCUCCUUCCCCCUGCAGGUAUUCGGUCCAUCUGGUGGACAUCUCCUUCCCCCUGCAGGUAUUCGGUCCAUCUGGUGGACAUCUCCUUCCCCCUGCAGGUAUUCGGUCCAUCUGGUGGACAUCUCCUUCCCCCUGCAGGUAUUCGGUCCAUCUGGUGGACAUCUCCUUCCCCCUGCAGGUAUUCGGUCCAUCUGGUGGACAUCUCCUUCCCCCUGCAGGUAUUCGGUCCAUCUGGUGGACAUCUCCUUCCCCCUGCAGGUAUUCGGUCCAUCUGGUGGACAUCUCCUUCCCCCUGCAGGUAUUCGGUCCAUCUGGUGGACAUCUCCUUCCCCCUGCAGGUAUUCGGUCCAUCUGGUGGACAUCUCCUUCCCCCUGCAGGUAUUCGGUCCAUCUGGUGGACAUCUCCUUCCCCCUGCAGGUAUUCGGUCCAUCUGGUGGACAUCUCCUUCCCCCUGCAGGUAUUCGGUCCAUCUGGUGGACAUCUCCUUCCCCCUGCAGGUAUUCGGUCCAUCUGGUGGACAUCUCCUUCCCCCUGCAGGUAUUCGGUCCAUCUGGUGGACAUCUCCUUCCCCCUGCAGGUAUUCGGUCCAUCUGGUGGACAUCUCCUUCCCCCUGCAGGUAUUCGGUCCAUCUGGUGGACAUCUCCUUCCCCCUGCAGGUAUUCGGUCCAUCUGGUGGACAUCUCCUUCCCCCUGCAGGUAUUCAGUCCAUCUGGUGGACAUCUCCUUCCCCCUGCAGGUAUUCAGUCCAUCU